AAGCAGAAAUAUGCUACUCGAACUUCACCACCAAGAUAAAUGGUGCCUUGUAUCCGCUUGAUCCAUACGGUUUGAGUGGCCGCUACGCUGGUUUAUGGUCAAAUUAUAGCAACAUAGAUAUCAGCCAGGGCAUGAGUUACCAGGUGUGGAUGCUGAGUUAUAACGCUGAAACGCCAAAAUCGUUUUUCCUGGCACUCAUUGCCAUCCGCAAUCCAAGUGAGUAUUGGGAUCUCACAAGACCGGUCAUCCUGUGGAAGGCCCGACAGACGAGGCUUGUAGGUGAGAAUGCCACUUUACAAUUUACCGCAGAUGGAGAGCUUAAAAUCGAAGAAGACGAUGAUGUCGUAUGGUCCACGAAAACUGCAAACAGAGGCGUCCGGUGGCUCUGUAUUUCCAAUCGCGCAACCAUAAUGCUCCUGGAUGAAAGCGGAAGCAAUGUCAUCUGGCAAAGCAGCGACGAACCUUCUGAUACUGUGCUGUUGCAACGAGCACUUACGCCGGGACAAAAGCUCGUAAGUUGGAAUACUUCAGAAGACAGCAGCGAUGGCCUCUAUAGUCUCGUCAUAGAGAAAAACAGGCUGCAACUGUUGUACGCCUCGCAACCGUACUGGAGCUUCGGUAAUAUUACCAGCGAGGAAGAUAUGUUUGCGGUGUUCUGCAGGCAAAACGAUGGUAUCGUGUCUCUGGAUCUGCGAGCCAACUUCUCAC
This 708-nucleotide long non-coding RNA is filed under the name Selaginella moellendorffii. RNAcentral's name for it is "long non-coding RNA (SMOE_LNC000869)". Lineage: Eukaryota; Viridiplantae; Streptophyta; Lycopodiopsida; Selaginellales; Selaginellaceae. The record is from RNAcentral.